GAUCUUACACUCGGGAUCCCACCACACUCGGAUUAUGGAACCCUAACAAUCCUAAACCAAAACCAACAAGGACUCCAAAUCAUGGACAAAGAUAGAAAAUGGCACUCUGUACCAUUUAUACAAGGAGCAUUAACAGUUCAAUUAGGAGAUCAAAUUGAAGUGAUGAGCAAUGGUAGAUACAAGAGUACUUUUCAUCGAGCAACUGUGAACAACAAGAGGAAUCGAUUAUCGAUUGCUAGUCUUCAUAGUCUGCCAAUCGAGAAGAAGGUAGGGCCCGCACCACAGCUCGUUGAUGAACAGUAUCCCAUAGCCUACAGAGAGGGAAGCUUUGGUGAAUUUCUUGAUCAUAUCUCUAAGAAAUGUCUAUCAGAAACUAGGUACAUAGACACAUUGAGAAUUCUGUGAAAGAUGAUAUGGUUUCAGAACAAUAUGAGCAUGUAUCAAGCAACUCCCCAUACACCUCCUGUUAUCGUGGUUACUUUAGAAUAUGAAAUUAACGAAGAUAUCCAACAUGUUUGUAAAAGAAUAAGCAUAUAUAAUGCAUAUCUAGCAUUCGUUUAAAAUGUCCUACUAAUUGGUAGCUUACUUCGUCUAUAAUCUAUUUACAUAAAGAUUUUGUUUGUCCUCAGUGAUAUCAUUCGGUGCAUAUAUGCCUAGCAAACUUCCUGUACUAUUACAUUAAUCAGAGUAAUUUUAAUCAUUCCAUCAGUGCAUAUUCUGCUUUCUAGCACGAGAUCUAGUUAUAAUUAAUUGUUUCCAAGUAAUUUAAUAUACCUAUUUAGCUAAUCGCGGCGUAAUCACUUUAUCGCAAUUCUUUUAGAAGAUCUUAUAUUAAUCAAAAAGAGGCUGAUCUGGACUAUGAAUCAGUUUCAGUCAACCAUAAUACAUCUGAAAGUUUAGAUAUCAAAAUCUAGAUCAUAACUACCAAAAUUGAUUCGAUUCGUUUGAAAAACUUUAGCUAAAAAACUAGAAGUCAGAUUAAGAUCUUACAAAAGAAGCGUUCGGAAUUAUAAGAUAUGAUGAUGGAUAACUUACACAGAGCUACGUUAUUAACGUUAAUCAUGCAUAUUCUCUGUGCUGCCUCCGGCGACUGCUUCUCACGCGCAGCCGCCUUGAGUGUCAAAUCGUUAUUUGGCAAGAAACACCUGUCAUUAGCCAUGACGAUGGCUCGAAUGGGUCCCGCAGUUGCAUAUCAUAUCUUCGGAAGAUCGAGAAGCUUAAUGGGGC
RNAcentral lists this long non-coding RNA (1227 nucleotides) under Lactuca sativa (garden lettuce). Its description in RNAcentral is "long non-coding RNA (LSAT_LNC003501)". The record is from RNAcentral. Lineage: Eukaryota; Viridiplantae; Streptophyta; Magnoliopsida; Asterales; Asteraceae.